AACGAACGCUGGCGGCAGGCUUAACACAUGCAAGUCGAACGGGCACCUUCGGGUGUCAGUGGCAGACGGGUGAGUAACGCGUGGGAACGUACCCUUCGGUUCGGAAUAACCCAGGGAAACUUGGGCUAACACCGGAUACGUCCGCAAGGAGAAAGAUUUAUCGCCGAAGGAUCGGCCCGCGUCGGAUUAGCUAGUUGGUGGGGUAAUGGCCCACCAAGGCGACGAUCCGUAGCUGGUCUGAGAGGAUGANCAGCCACACUGGGACUGAGACACGGCCCAGACUCCUACGGGAGGCAGCAGUGGGGAAUAUUGGACAAUGGGCGAAAGCCUGAUCCAGCCAUGCCGCGUGAGUGAAGAAGGCCUUAGGGUUGUAAAGCUCUUUCAGCGGGAAGAUAAUGACGGUACCCGC
Molecule: ribosomal RNA, 409 nt
Filed under: uncultured bacterium
Lineage: Bacteria
Description: bacterial SSU rRNA
Rfam family: Bacterial small subunit ribosomal RNA
Source: RNAcentral